Molecule: non-coding RNA, 72 nt
Organism: Ictidomys tridecemlineatus (thirteen-lined ground squirrel)
Lineage: Eukaryota; Metazoa; Chordata; Mammalia; Rodentia; Sciuridae
Source: Rfam
UGGGUUGUGGCUCAGUAGUAGAGCACUUGCCUGGCAUGUGUAAGGCCCUGUGUUCAAACCUCAGCACCACAU